UGCAGGUGGCACCUACCACCUACCUCCUAAUUCCCUAGUCAUUGUCCAAGUCUUACCUAGGCAGAAUACAACCCAACAAAAACCUCUCACCAGAUGAUCGAUGCAUGAUGACGUCUUGUUAAAAUAUUUGGCGACUCUUCAUACAAGGGAAAAAAAUCCUACAUGUAUUAAAAAAUAUUGUAGGUGUGAGAAGAAAGAGCGACAUGGUGUGAAGGAAUCAUAUAGAAUACAGGAGUGCAAGCAUCUUGUUCAGGCAUCUCCUUGUCUCUUCGUUGGAGCCUUGGAAAAGCUUCCCCAGCCUCAAGUAGUGCUUCUUCUACCUAUCCAUCCACUGCAUGCAUAUAUACAAACCUUUUCCCAACUGAUGGAAAGGCAGACAUCUGGUUGUUCGUCAGGCUUGUUGCCAGUUUAACGGCACCAAGUAGUGCUCCAUAUCCUACUAAAGGAUUGGAGCACUUCAAAGCAACAGAGAAUAGCGCUGAAAUGGGUCAUAGGAAGAGCAAUCACCACAAGGGAAGGGGCGAGGAACCUCACCAGAAGCAAAUCCGGUGCCUGCUGGUUCGUUCCUGCUGCCCCUGCUACGUGAUUGGCUCCGUCGUCAGAGGGAUUGGUAGGUGCCUCUUCGUGGCCUGCUACCCGAUGAUACAAUGCUGUGGCCUUGAUGAAUGCAGGCACCACCACACCAGCCACCUCAGCCACUUCAGAUGAUGCAUACAUCCAUCAAGUACAUCACUACUUGAUCAUUUUUUCUUGUUUUUCCUUUCUUUUUUUUUUGGGCCUAAGUAGGGUUAUCAGAAAUUAAUCAAGCCAAGUUCUGAAGAAGAAUUAUUGUCCGUAUCUUAUACGAGUCCGCGUUGUUCUUCAUCCUUUUCCAGUAGUUUUCAGUAGAGAAGAAGAACUUGCCUUCAUUGCCUCAGCAUUUGAUAGAAGAGUAAUCCUGAAGAAAAUUGCCUGCUAAACAGCUAUUGGUCUCCUGAAAGUUAGUCAUUAUUAAAGUGGUCGAUGCCAGUGUUUUCUGAUU
Long non-coding RNA from Panicum virgatum (switchgrass), 1021 nucleotides. RefSeq lists it as uncharacterized. The transcript has 2 exons. Lineage: Eukaryota; Viridiplantae; Streptophyta; Magnoliopsida; Poales; Poaceae. The record is from RefSeq and is a predicted model, not a curated record.